RNAcentral lists this long non-coding RNA (812 nucleotides) under Sus scrofa (pig). RNAcentral's name for it is "lncRNA (ENSSSCG00005013777.1)". The record is from RNAcentral. Lineage: Eukaryota; Metazoa; Chordata; Mammalia; Artiodactyla; Suidae.
ACAGCUCUGACUCCCGGCUUGUUGUGGAUACCAGGCACAGGAUAUCUGCCCAGCUCUCCACCUCCUUCCCUGAUAACUGCUUCUGGGGGCGCUGACUCACCCUCGCCGCUUCCCUGAGGCAGAGGACGGCGAGGCAGACAUUGGAUUUCCCGAGGGAGGAAGCCCUCAGCUUGGAUACCCAACCUCCAGGAAGGAUGUGGGGUCAGAGCUUACUUUCCCUCUCCCUUGCAAACCUGCACCAAAUCUGAAGGGUUCCCAUCUCCCUCAGGUAAUUUCCAUCAGCAUGAAGUACUGCCUGCUACGCAUCUUCCAGUAAAUUACCUCGAGAAGAGGGCUCGAUGCUAAAAGCAACUACUCCAGCUAAUGCCACUACACAGAUGGCAGAUAGGGUGUUCCCUCCUGCGAAGACUAACAUUCCAUAGUCCUAGAGAAGAGGAUGGUACGUAUCAAACUAGCUCCCCUACACUUCUCAACCCCAAGCUUCUAAGCCACUAUCUUCUCCCCCACUCCCCUGAGUUAAGUCCCAGGUCCACUGGGAACACACUGGACAAAAGCCAAUCUGUCCUCCUUGCCUUCUGACCUGGCCAGUCCUGAGGUGUCCAAGCCGCAGGCCCUGCAAGAGGGAUGUAAGCUGGUGGAGGGCUACUCCAUUUGGGGCCUCCCGUUGUCUCCAUGUCCUUUUCAUCCUUCUUGGGGCCCAGAGGUUCCGACUGCUGGGCAAAGGAAAGGUUAAACUGGUUGGGCAGCACUCCCCCCCUCCCAACCCCCCAACAGAAUCUAAGCUGGGAAACUUGGUGGCAGGAACAAAGCGG